Molecule: ribosomal RNA, 468 nt
Filed under: uncultured bacterium
Lineage: Bacteria
Description: partial 16S ribosomal RNA
Rfam family: Bacterial small subunit ribosomal RNA
Source: RNAcentral
GACGAACGCUGGCGGCGUGCUUAACACAUGCAAGUCGAACGGAAAGGCCCUGCUUUUGUGGGGUGCUCGAGUGGCGAACGGGUGAGUAACACGUGAGUAACCUGCCCUUGACUUUGGGAUAACUUCAGGAAACUGGGGCUAAUACCGGAUAGGAGCUCCUGCUGCAUGGUGGGGGUUGGAAAGUUUCGGCGGUUGGGGAUGGACUCGCGGCUUAUCAGCUUGUUGGUGGGGUAGUGGCUUACCAAGGCUUGGACGGGUAGCCGGCCUGAGAGGGUGACCGGCGACAUUGCGACUGAGAUACGGCCCAGACGCCUACGGGAGGCAGCAGUGGGGAAUAUUGCAGAAUGGGCGGAAGCCUGAUGCAGCAACGCCGCGUGCGGGAUAACGUCCUUCGGGUGGUAAACCGCUUUCGCCUGUGACGAAGCGUGAGUGACGGUAAUGGGUAAAGAAGCCCCGGCUAACUACGUG